CAAAUUGAUGCAAGACCUGUAUCUCCAAAACCUUUAAAUACAGAGGCAAGAAAUCUAACACCUAGCAACCGAGAUUUCGCAGAAAAAGCAAAAAAAAUCCUUCUCCCAUAAUGGGUAACUGUUUCACAAAAACAAAGACUUCAUUUACCAAAGAACAGCAAAGCACGAAACCUCAACAACAAUUGAGCCCAACUUAUCUUCCAACUUCACUACCCAAAGCCACUUCUUCUUCCCAGAAUGGAACAAUUCUGGGAAAACCCAUUUGCGAUUUAACCUCAAUUUAUGAUCUUGAUAAAGAGCUGGGAAGGGGGCAGUUUGGGAUCACCUAUCUUUGCACCGAAAAGGCAACCGGACGGAAGUAUGCUUGCAAGUCAAUAUCAAAGAGGAAGCUUGUGAAUAAGAAGGAUAUUGAAGAUGUUCAGAGAGAGAUAAUGCUCCUUCAGCAUCUCACGGGGCAACCCAAUAUUGUGGAGUUCAAGGGAGCUUACGAGGAUAAGGAGAACGUGCAUUUAGUAAUGGAGCUGUGCUCGGGUGGAGAGCUCUUUGACCGAAUUACCGCAAAGGGAAAUUAUUCAGAGCGUGAAGCGGCGACCAUAGGUCGGCAAAUUGUGAAUGUAGUCCACGUAUGCCACUUCAUGGGGGUGAUGCAUAGGGAUUUGAAGCCAGAAAAUUUCUUGCUGGUUAGUUGGGAUGAGAAUUCUCCACUCAAAGCCACUGAUUUUGGACUCUCUGUCUUCAUAGAAGAAGGGAAGUCUUACCAUGAGCUUGUAGGAAGUGCUUACUAUGUGGCUCCAGAGGUGUUGAAGCGGAACUAUGGAAAGGAAAUAGAUGUCUGGAGUUCCGGGGUCAUUUUAUAUAUUCUUCUAAGUGGUUAUCCUCCAUUUUGGGCUGAGACUGAUAAAGGAAUAUAUGCUGCCAUCCUAGAAGGACAAAUUGACUUCAAAACUUCACCCUGGCCUUCCAUAUCAGAUUCUGUGAAGGAUCUUAUCAAGAAGAUGCUAACACAAGACCCCAAAAAACGGAUUACUGCUGCCCAAGCCCUUGAGCAUCCAUGGUUGAAGGAAGAUGGUGAAGCAUCUGAUAAACCUCUUGAUAGUGCUGUUCUGACUAGAAUGAAGCAAUUCAGAGCAAUGAACAAGCUAAAGAGGAUGGCUCUAAAGGUAAUAGCAGAAAACCUUUCAGAAGAGGAAAUCAAGGGAUUGCAACAAAUGUUCUACAACAUGGACACUGAUCGUAGUGGUACAAUUACCUAUGAAGAGCUGAAGACUGGCUUGUCUAGACUGGGAUCCAAGCUAACCGAGAAUGAAAUCAAGCAGUUGAUGGAUGCUGUAAGAUACUAAAUAACUGUCUCUUUGACGUUAAUUUUUCACUACUUUUUAUAUGCCUGAUGUUCAACAUUUUUUUCGAGCUCUCAGGCUGAUGUCGACAAGAAUGGGACCAUUGAUUACAUUGAAUUUGUUGCUGCUACCAUGCAUCGCCAUAGGCUAGAGCAAGAAGAUAGUUUAUUCAAGGCUUUUCAGUAUUUUGACAAAGAUGGCAGCGGGUUUAUCACAAGAGAUGAACUGAGACAUGCGCUGACUCAAUAUAGAAUGGGUGAUGAAGCUACUAUAGAUGAAAUAAUUAAUGAUGUGGAUACAAAUAGAGAUGGAAAAAUCAAUUAUGAGGAGUUUGUAGCGAUGAUGAAAGGGACACAUGAACCCAAUGGAAGACAAGCAAAGCACAUAGAAAAGCAAACGGAUGCAAGAACUGUAUCUCCAAAAUUUUUAAAUACACCAGCAAGAAAUCUUACACCCAUCAACCGAGAUUUCGCAGAAAAGCCAAAAAAAAAAAAAAAAAAUCCAUAUCCCAUAAUGGGUAUCUGUUUCACCAAAACCAAUCAAAUUCCAAUCACUUCAUCUCCAGACAGGCCUACUCAACAACCGUCCAAGAAAACCAAAGAACAACAAAGCAAAAAACCUCAUCAACAAUCGGACGCAGCUUCUCUUCCAACUUCACUAUCCAAAGCCACUUCUUCUUCCCAGAUUGGAACCAUUCUAGGAAAACCCAUUUGCGAUUUAACCUCAAUUUAUGAUCUUGAUAAAGAGCUGGGAAGGGGGCAGUUUGGGAUCACCUAUCUUUGCACCGAAAAGGCAACCGGACGGAAGUAUGCUUGCAAGUCAAUAUCAAAGAGGAAGCUUGUGAAUAAGAGGGAUAUUGAAGAUGUUCAGAGAGAGAUAAUGCUCCUUCAGCAUCUCACGGGGCAACCCAAUAUUGUGGAGUUCAAGGGAGCUUACGAGGAUAAGCAGAAUGUUCAUGUAGUAAUGGAGCUAUGCUUGGGUGGAGAGCUAUUUGACCGAAUUACCGCAAAGGGAAAUUAUUCAGAGCGUGAAGCGGCGACCAUAGGUCGACAAGUUGUGAAUGUAGUCCAUGUAUGCCAUUUCAUGGGGGUGAUGCAUAGGGAUUUGAAGCCAGAAAAUUUUUUGCUGGUUAGUCGGGAUGAGAAUUCUCCGCUCAAAGCUACUGAUUUUGGACUCUCUGUCUUCAUAGAAGAAGGUAAAUCUUACCAUGAGCUUGUAGGAAGUGCUUACUAUUUGGCUCCAGAGGUGUUGUACCGGAACUAUGGAAAGGAAAUAGAUGUCUGGAGUGCAGGAGUCAUCUUAUACAUUCUUCUAUGUGGUUCUCCUCCAUUUUGGGCUGAGACUAAUCAAGGAAUAUCUGCUGCCAUCAUAGAAGGACAAAUUGACUUCAAAAGUGCACCCUGGCCUUCUAUAUCAGAUUCUGCAAAGGAUCUUAUCAAGAAGAUGUUAACACGUGACCCCAAAAAACGGAUUACUGCUUCCCAAGCUCUUGAGCAUCCAUGGUUGAAAGAAGAUGGUGAAGCUUCUGAUAAACCUCUUGAUAGUGCUGUUCUGACUAGAAUGAAGCAAUUCAGAACAAUGAACAAGCUAAAGAAGAUGGCUCUGAAGGUAAUAGCAGAAAACCUUUCAGAAGAGGAAAUCAAGGGAUUGCAACAAAUGUUCUACAACAUGGACACUGAUCGUAGUGGUGCAAUUACCUAUGAAGAGCUGAAGACUGGCUUGUCUAGACUGGGAUCCAAGCUAACCGAGAAUGAAAUCAAGCAGUUGAUGGAUGCUGCCGAUGUCGACAAGAAUGGGACCAUUGAUUACAUUGAAUUUGCUGCUGCUACCAUGCAUCGCCAUAGGCUAGAGCAAGAAGAUAAUUUAUUCAAGGCUUUUCAGUAUUUUGACAAAGAUGGCAGUGGGUUUAUCACAAGAGAUGAACUGAGACAUGCGCUGACUCAAUAUAAAAUGGGUGAUGAAGCUACUAUAGAUGAAAUAAUUAAUGAUGUCGACACAAAUAAAGAUGGAAAAAUCAAUUAUGAGGAGUUUGUAGCCAUGAUGAAGGGAACACAUGAACCCAGCGGAAGACAAAAAUGAACCACUUGAUCAACCGGAUAUAAAUAAGAAAGUUUAAGUUUUUCCGGUUUCAACAGUUUAAUUUGAUUUCCAGGUUGCUUUUUCGUUUCUGCUGUAUCAAUGUUUAUGCCAUUUAUAGGAUGUGGUUCGUAAUUCAUACAGAGAUGAGAGAUGAUGAUCUUCUCCCUCUGGAUUGGGUUUUCAGUUUUUACCUGUAAAAUUGGAAAUACUUAAUAAUCCCAAUAUUGUAUUUUUCUAAUAAUAUGAAUAAUAUGUGGCCAUUUGUAUAUG
Nelumbo nucifera (sacred lotus) is the source of this 3686-nucleotide RNA transcript. It is a transcript of the gene named calcium-dependent protein kinase 29, with no coding region annotated. The record is from RefSeq and is a predicted model, not a curated record. NCBI's taxonomy places the organism in Eukaryota, Viridiplantae, Streptophyta, Magnoliopsida, Proteales, Nelumbonaceae.